Molecule: long non-coding RNA, 2436 nt
Filed under: Olea europaea subsp. europaea
Lineage: Eukaryota; Viridiplantae; Streptophyta; Magnoliopsida; Lamiales; Oleaceae
Source: RNAcentral
CCUUACCUUCGCGUAACAAUUAGGUUCCUUCUAUCCACAUGCAGCACAACAUCUCGACUGUUAAAUUGACGAUCCUAACAGAUGGUUUCUGUCAUUCUCAACAAAUGUUUGCAAAUUACAAAAUCCCACUUCUUUGAACAGUAUGGUAUACAAUCAAAUUUUGGACAUAGUAUAACUUUUUCAAUACAAAACUUACAGUCCGCCUUUGCCACGUCAUAAGUUGAAGGAACUUCAUCAUUGUCCAAGUACAACACUUCGGGCCAGUUGCCUAGACCAAGAUACAACAACAAAUAAAAAUUUCAUAUCAUAAUAUUUCAUACAUGUUAAUGCCUAACACACGUGUAAUGUUUGCAUGAACCAAUGUUGGACGGGACAGAUGACAGCCAAACUGAUCUUUCGAGAAAAUGUUAUGUGUCAAGAAAAACUGGCUGUAACUGUUGAUCUCGACAGAUCGUAUAUCGAGAAAGAUAGUUAAUCUUGAAGAUGACUCAACUCAUCUGUCGAUAUUUAGCCAUCUGUUGAAAAUUACUGCUAUUAAUUGUCAGGAACGAUAGUUCACUGCGAUGUCAUUUGUCUACUGAAGUGAACUGUUGGGAAUUUACUUUUGACCUAUAAACCACCAAAAUGAUAAAGGAGUAAAAGGUAUUAAAGAGUUCAUAAACGCUGUUUCAUGCCAUUUAUCUUAAGCAUUAAUAGUACAAUAUUGCAAAAUUGUUGAAUUAAGAAGUCUCCAUUUGACCUUCUAAAACACCAAAAUAAAUCAAUGAUAGAAGGGAAAAAAUAGUACUUAUAAGAGUUCGUAAAUGAGUAAAUUUUGCCAUCAAAAUGAUCACUUAUUAGCUUUUCUUAAAAAUAAAUCAUAUUGGUGUUCCUUUCCAACCAAACAAAGUCCGUCAAUCUUUGCAUCCUCCAAGAGAUAAUUUGAAUGAGCUCGUCGUCAAAUUUAAGUAAGAUAUAUUUGACAAUGUAAUUUUAACAUAUCACGACGAUAUAAUCAAAGAUGUGUCCAAAUAAAGAAGAGAAACCAUAUGUAUAUUUAAUCAAUUCAAGAAAAUUAACAUAAAAAAGAACAUGAAAAACAAUAAUGAGGGGGAGGGGGGGGGGGGGGGGGGUUAGUUCAAUCUCUAUUAAACACAUCAGAAAAAUCCAAUUACAUGCACAAAGUUAUAUGAAGCAUAUGCUAAAGCUAGUGAUGGACAAAAGAAUCAAAACCAAGUUAACAAAAUUGAAUCGAUGGGUUCAGUUUUUCCUUAAAUUUUAGUGGUUUUAGUUCAUAGAAGUUUUGAGAAUCGAGAAUCAGCUGAUUAACUUGUUCUUGGCUAUAGAAAUUAGAAUUUUUUUCAAGUUUAAGCACAAACUAGAGAAUCAAAGAAAAAACGGAGUCUACCAAGAUGUACUUGCAUAUUUUGAACACUCGUUUCAUUGCUAUUUUGCUCAUCACAAGAACAGCAAAUUUAGUUAAAAGUAUUUUUCAUAACUGAUACAAACAAUAGGUGAAAAAUUAAUCCCUCUAUCAAUAAUCACAAAAUAAACCUCACAAUUGCGUAAAGUUUCACAUUGCCUAAUAAUGCCACCUCUAUUUUGAAUUUUUGAUGAAGUUCCCAAAGUACAUCUCACAUAUCACAAACACAAUUCACAAAUCAAUUAUCCAAAGCAAAUUUACAAAUCAUAAAUUGACAAAAUCACAAAUUCAAGAGAUUGAUAAAUACCAAUAGGUUAUAAAAGCAGAUGAGUUCAGCCAUUCAAAAAUCACAAAUUCUGAUAUUCAUAAAGUCAUAUAACUGUUAAUGUAUCGAACUUAUCACCUCGUUUAAGGCUUGAACUGUUAUUGGCAGGCGACCAUGAGGACUGAAAGCAAGUACCAAAGAUGAGAGGAGGAGUAGGCAGCAACGCUCGUGACUAAAUAGUUUGCGGUUUUACCAUUUGUAGUUUUCCCUUUCCAAUCAUUGAAUCGCUGACAGGAGGGAGCCAGGGAUGGGAUUUUAAAUUGCUGAGUUAGUGGGUUUUGCUUCAGAGUUUGGUAAUGGAAAGUGGGAGGUUUCUCUCGUGAAUGUUGAUAGCAGGGAAUGGUUAUUGACUUAUUUCAAUUGAAUUUGGUUUUGGUUUUUCAAUUUUUUUCCAAAAUUUUGAGUACAAUUGUGAGGUGAUUGUUUGUCACAUUUUUUUUUAUUUUUUGUACCACUUUUUUAUGUUGUCAAGCUAAGGAUGUGUAGGAUAUUUAAAUUUUGUAGAGGGGCAAAAAUGUUCAAAAAUGACAAUCUUACAAAGAUUUUGAAAAUGUAAAACCAAAAAUUGACAUUGAGCACAAUUUCCUCUAUUUUUAUUAUACACUGAUUGUUUGUCCCUUGUUUCUGGAAACAACCCUUUUCAAACUAAUUAAACGUAGAUGAUUUAAAAUCAAAUUUGUCAUUCACUCGAUUCACCAUUAGAUUUUAC